This is a long non-coding RNA of Gopherus flavomarginatus (Mexican gopher tortoise), 3001 nucleotides long. RefSeq lists it as uncharacterized. NCBI's taxonomy places the organism in Eukaryota, Metazoa, Chordata, Testudines, Testudinidae. The transcript has 7 exons. The record is from RefSeq and is a predicted model, not a curated record.
UUUUCUUCGCUUUCUCAUCAUACUGGCAGCGUCCUGCAAUUGGCUAUUUUGCUUUACAGUGAGAAGGGUGUUUUUUCUCCUCUGACAGAUCAAUGUUUUCUCCUGAGGCAAAAAAAAAAAAAAGAGGCGGAAGAGCCUGUCCUGGAUGCCUGACGGAGGAAUAAAUGUAGAGCUUAAGAAAAAUUUGUUGAUGAAAUUUGCACAAAGUUGUUUUUCCAGUAUUGAAAGAUUGACAUCAAGAGUAGAUGAGAUACAGAGACAAGUUGGGCAAGGCUGGGCUCAAAUUGGACGGGGGGGAAUCCCCCAAGAUCCAACCACAACCCAAGUUCUGCCCAUUUGGGAUACCAAAAUGAGAUGCCACUCACAACAGAUUGUGCAGGUGUUCAAAUCUGAUCAUACAUGUUCUGCUGGGCUCCUCAGGCUUGGCACCCCUCUGGAUUUGGAUACACCCACUGCAUUAUUAAGAUGCAGGAACUACAGACAAGUGUCUAAGGCCCUGGCUCCAAGUAUUACUUGAUAAUGACAGAAUCUCAAUGUUCAUUACAAAUAAAAGCGUCUAAAAACAUGAACCACGGAUAACUGAUGCAAUAAUGUGCAUCCGAGUCUGCAGACAGCAUCCAGCAAAGGCAGCUGUUAUAGCCAGAGAGGAAGCUGCCUGGCCUGAAAUUCAUCGUCGAUACAGACCAAGCCCCUGCUGAUCUGAGGGGACCUGGCCUGGUCAAGGUAAAGUUUUGAGGAUUGGCUGUCCCUUGGCAGCUCAGAGACCCCCCUAGGCUCUGUUCUUCCCUCUAACCUUUAGCUUCACUGGUCAAAUUGAGGAGGGGGGCUAGGGGGAAGUGGUAAUACUCUCCCAAAUGCCUCCCAAUUGUGACACCAGAAUGGACAUCACUCACUGUAAAUUGCACACAUCUUCAUAAUAUGAUCAUCCCUUUCCUUUCUCAUAUGCUGUGAUCAGCAGCCCUGAGCAAGUCACAACCUCCAUCUCAGCUUCCCCAUCUGUAAAAUGGGGAUAGUGAUACACCAAACUAGCAGGUUUUGACCUUUCAAUAGAGAGCUGAUUCUGGAGAACAACUUACUUCUGUGAUUGAAAAAUUCUCUCUGGAAAGCUGAUGGAGCAUGAGAAUGGGGAAGGAACCACUAAGUCCAGGCUACAAUUGAUUGCUGGGGACAACAAAGGAGAAAAGAGGAACAGGAGUGAGGUUAAAGACUGAAAAUCUAUGGAAACAGAGCAGAGAAUCCCAGAAAGCACCCACCACUUUUCAAAGGCAUCCAAGGAAACAGUAGACUCUGCCCAGAGGAACUCCGCCUGGAGAUGUGAGCAGACAAGGGACAAUAAAAAGGCCCCACAAUUGCAGAGUACCCCCCCUCAUCCAGCUUCCUCCUCUUGGAGUGAUAGAUGGCUAUCUUGGCCAGUGUCCAGAGGAGGUUGACAAGAAGGUCCCAUUACUUUGUGGGGCCAUGGAUGAACUGUACAUAAAGCAGGAGGGGGGGGGGGAAGGGGCAGCCAGAACCUCAGGAGGAGGUUCUGGAUGAUCCACAAGAGGGGCUGCAACCUGCUGCACUCUACAUAGAUCUCAGGGGUUGCUGUAGAAGGAACAUGUAUCAGAAGAGUUUGUGAACCAUGCCAGUACAUGCCUGUCCUUACAGCUCCACGUAGGAACUGCCAGUUAACAUUUCUGGUGGGCCAUGGAAUUACAGUGGAGUACAGACAGGCCAACCAGGGUUCCUCACCCUCCACUGGUGGCAAUAGGUUCCUCCACUUGGUGUUGGAUGGGACACAAGGGUGAGGAAGUGAAUGGUAUGAAGAAUGAAUGCUUACAGAUAUUCUCUGGGCACAGCUUGGAGGCAGACCUAGGUGGCAAGUUGGAGGCAGCCGGGGGCAGGGCUCGUAGAGCAGGGACCCAAUAAUGAGUUCUGGAGGGCCAGAGAUGAGGGGGUGGACACAAAGCACACUCAUGCAGGACCCACUCAAGGAAAGUCAGAAUCAGGAGCCAAGGCUGCCCUCACUUCCCAGAGCACACAACAUUGGAGAUGCAGGCUGGGCAGCCUCAUGCACUGGCCGAGCACCACAGGGUCCACCCAGUGUCUCAGAUCAAUUCUGAUGGCACCAGCCAGGACUAUCCUCUGGAACACCAAGGGUGACACCACCACCUGAACACAGAGAUGGGAGCUGUGUGUAGCAGGAGUUCUGCAGCACACCGUGGAACUUUUAUUGCAUGGAGGCCAGUUAUUGUGUGGCAGGAUAGUGUGCUGUAUAUUUACAUCCCAGUUUACUGUGCACUGCCAGUGUAGACAUGCCCUCACUCCCUGUGUGAUUCAUCUCCUGGGUGUGGAACACAGCAUAGCAGUUACCUGACUUAGAGGUAUAGGAAAGACCCUGCAUUAACUUGUUUAGCUGUUUGCUAAUUUGAGGAGUCCCCAGUGAAAAUGCUGAUCAAAACCCCCACACAACAAUUGAAUGGGUCUUUUGGUCCUGUCCCACACUCCAGCAUAUAUCCUAUGUUGCUAGUUACUCAUUCUUUAUUAUGUAGUUAUCAAAUAAAACUUUGUAAUAUGUGUUUUGCAUAAAUUAGUUAAAUAUAUUGUAAAACAAUAUACCAAAGAGAAGCUGAAACAUGAACAUUGCCUUUAUGUUGUAAAAAGUUUAACACUGUGUGGCAGGUGUUCUUCAUACUGUAAUGCAGUUUUGUUUGUAGAACAUGACAAAUGGAAUGGGCAAGAUAAACUGAAAUGUUACUAUUUAUUUCUUAUGUAUAACAUUAUUGUAACAAUGUUUUCAAAAGUGCAAGAUUAAUUCCAUACAUGUGUUCAGGGUGUAGCAGACUGUUGGGAACCAAGUGUUUCCUCUUUUUAUACUCCCUUAUAAUGGCUGCACUAUAUAUUUGAGUUUUUACAAUACUUUCCUCAUUGCCAGAUAGUUUGGGGUUCAAAAAUAAAAUCACAAAACUUCUGUUAAAUGUGUUUUUGUUUUGGUUCUUUAAAUAAAAAAAAAUUCUUAGUA